This 433-nucleotide ribosomal RNA is filed under the name uncultured bacterium. Its description in RNAcentral is "partial 16S ribosomal RNA". It matches the Rfam family "Bacterial small subunit ribosomal RNA", at positions 29 to 507 of the family's 1533-position model. The record is from RNAcentral.
AGCGAACGCUGGCGGCAGGCCUAACACAUGCAAGUCGAACGAACUCUUCGGAGUUAGUGGCGGACGGGUGAGUAACACGUGGGAACGUGCCUUUUGGUUCGGAAUAACUCAGGGAGACUUGUGCUAAUACCGAAUGUGCCCUUCGGGGGAAAGAUUUAUCGCCAUUAGAGCGGCCCGCGUCUGAUUAGCUAGUUGGUGAGGUAACGGCUCACCAAGGCGACGAUCAGUAGCUGGUCUGAGAGGAUGACCAGCCACACUGGGACUGAGACACGGCCCAGACUCCUACGGGAAGCAGCAGUGGGGAAUCUUGCGCAAUGGGCGAAAGCCUGACGCAGCCAUGCCGCGUGAAUGAUGAAGGUCUUAGGAUUGUAAAAUUCUUUCACCGGGGACGAUAAUGACGGUACCCGGAGAAGAAGCCCCGGCUAACUUCGUG